Molecule: long non-coding RNA, 334 nt
Filed under: Carica papaya (papaya)
Lineage: Eukaryota; Viridiplantae; Streptophyta; Magnoliopsida; Brassicales; Caricaceae
Description: long non-coding RNA (CPAP_LNC010994)
Source: RNAcentral
ACACAACCUAUUUUCCUCCUUUACCAGCCCACUAGUAUCCAUGGGGAUCCAUAGGGGUCCCGCUACCCGUUAACCCUUAACACUUGAAAUCAUAUUCCAGGGCCGUCCCCAUACCCCGUCCGGUAUGGGCGCCAAACCAUAGACCUCAUUACCCCGUCCGGUAUGAGGGUGAAACGGGCCGUCCCCAUACCCUGUCCGGUAUGGGCGCCAAAACACAUAAGAUCUCCAUACCCCGUCCGGUAUGGGAGACCACAAUCCCGGUAGGAUUCCCUACGGACCCGGUCCGUCCACCAUCUCCCAGGAUAUCUAGUCAGGCUGACCACAUUAUACAAUU